Long non-coding RNA from Callorhinchus milii (elephant shark), 761 nucleotides. RefSeq lists it as uncharacterized. The transcript has 2 exons. The record is from RefSeq and is a predicted model, not a curated record. Lineage: Eukaryota; Metazoa; Chordata; Chondrichthyes; Chimaeriformes; Callorhinchidae.
UUUUUUGUGUGGAUGAGAGAAAAUAUUUAAAAAAUUAAUUUUUUGAGAGCAUUUGAGAGAAAUUCAAAAAGCAGAACUGCAAACCACUCCUGCCUUGAAUCACGUAAGUGUGUGUGAUUCUGGGCCCGAGUGAAUGCACUUGGGUAUCAAGAACAAGUUCAGGGGAUUUUGUUUCCCAGGGGAAAAAAAAGUUUUAAAAUUCAUCAGCCUUCACCAAAAAAAAUUAAUCAUCAUGAUAAUUGGAAUAAGGUAUAAAGGUCCUUAAGCAUACAUUAUUGAAGGAACUUUCUUCAAUAUUGAUUAGAUGGAAGGAAAAAAACACCAAGUGCUGAAUUAGCUUUUACACACGUGCACUAGAUGGCGUGGAAGUACACACGUUGACGUAUAAACACAUGUUGAAUGCCACGGACUUCUGGAGCUAAAGGCUUUGGAGGAAAACUGGAUAAAGAAGUUGCAAUUAUGAUAUCUGAUCACUGAAACAAAAUGAAAAUUAUUCUGCCUUUUGUGCUCAAGUAGCAAAAAAAGAAUUUAUGCAUUUCACACACCAAAUUAUCCCAUUGGCGAAGAGGCUCAAAGUGAUUCACAGGGCAUUUGCUGUAAAGUGUAAUGACUGUGUGUUGGCGUCAAUCCUCCCAACCACAGCAGCCUACAGUCACCCCAGAUACAGUCACUGAGCUCUUUUCCGUUGGAGUGACAAUAUAUCAGGUGUAUCUUUUUAAACAGCAUCAUGUUUAUAAUAAUAAAUGUUUAUGUUACAAUUA